UGGGGAAUAUUGCGCAAUGGGGGAAACCCUGACGCAGCAACGCCGCGUGGGUGAAGAAGGCCUUCGGGUCGUAAAGCCCUUUCGGACGGGACGAAAGUUCCGCGGGGAUAAUCCGCGGAGCCUGACGGUACCGUAGGAAGAAGCACCGGCUAACUCCGUGCCAGCAGCCGCGGUAAUACGGAGGGUGCAAGCGUUGUUCGGAAUUACUGGGCGUAAAGCGCGUGUAGGCGGCCUUGUAAGUCAGAUGUGAAAGCCCUCGGCUCAACCGGGGAAGUGCAUCUGAAACGGCAAGGCUUGAGUACGGGAGAGGGAGGCGGAAUUCCCAGUGUAGAGGUGAAAUUCGUAGAUAUUGGGAGGAACACCGGUGGCGAAAGCGGCCUCCUGGACCGAUACUGACGCUGAGACGCGAAAGCGUGGGGAGCAAACAGGAUUAGAUACCCUGGUAGUCCACGCGGUAAACGAUGGGCACUAGGUGUGGGGGGUAUCCACUCCUCCCGUGCCGCAGCUAACGCAUUAAGUGCCCCGCCUGGGGAGUACGGCCGCAAGGCUA
RNAcentral lists this ribosomal RNA (550 nucleotides) under uncultured bacterium. RNAcentral's name for it is "bacterial SSU rRNA". It matches the Rfam family "Bacterial small subunit ribosomal RNA", at positions 355 to 896 of the family's 1533-position model. The record is from RNAcentral.